Long non-coding RNA from Oncorhynchus keta (chum salmon), 1090 nucleotides. RefSeq lists it as uncharacterized. The record is from RefSeq and is a predicted model, not a curated record. The transcript is spliced from 5 exons. Lineage: Eukaryota; Metazoa; Chordata; Actinopteri; Salmoniformes; Salmonidae.
UUGUAUGGUGACGUAAUGUGUCUUGUAUGGUGACGUAAUGUGUCUUGUAUGGUGAGGUAAUGUGUCUUGUAUGGUGAGGUAAUGUGUCUUGUAUGGUGACGUAAUGUGUCUUGUAUGGUGAGGUAAUGUGUCUUGUAUGGUGAGGUAAUGUGUCUUGUAUGGUGAGGUAAUGUGUCUUGUAUGGUGAGGUAAUGUGUCUUGUAUGGUGAGGUAAUGUGUCUUGUAUGGUGAGGUAAUGUGUCUUGUAUGGUGACGUAAUGUGUCUUGUAUGGUGAGGUAAUGUGUCUUGUAUGGUGAGGUAAUGUGUCUUGUAUGGUGAGGUAAUGUGUCUUGUAUGGUGAGGUAAUGUGUCUUGUAUGGUGACGUAAUGUGUCUUGUAUGGUGAGGUAAUGUGUCUUGUAUGGUGAGGUAAUGUGUCUUGUAUGGUGAUGUAAUGUGUCUUGUAUGGUGACGUAAUGUGUCUUGUAUGGUGACGUAAUGUGUCUUGUAUGGUGAGGUAAUGUGUCUUGUAUGGUGAGGUAAUGUGUCUUGUAUGGUGAGGUAAUGUGUCUUGUAUGGUGAGGUAAUGUGUCUUGUAUGGUGACGUAAUGUGUCUUGUAUGGUGAGGUAAUGUGUCUUGUAUGGUGAGGUAAUGUGUCUUGUAUGGUGAGGUAAUGUGUCUUGUAUGGUGAGGUAAUGUGUCUUGUAUGGUGAGGUAAUGUGUCUUGUAUGGUGAGGUAAUGUGUCUUGUAUGGUGAGGUAAUGUGUCUUGUAUGGUGAGGUAAUGUGUCUUGUAUGGUGAGGUAAUGUGUCUUGUAUGGUGAGGUAAUGUGUCUUGUAUGGUGAGGUAAUGUGUCUUGUAUGGUGAGGUAAUGUGUCUUGUAUGGUGAGGUAAUGUGUCUUGUAUGGUGAGGUAAUGUGUCUUGUAUGGUGACGUAAUGUGUCUUGUAUGGUGAGGUAAUGUGUCUUGUAUGGUGAGGUAAUGUGUCUUGUAUGGUGAGGUAAUGUGUCUUGUAUGGUGACGUAAUGUGUCUUGUAUGGUGAGGUAAUGUGUCUUGUAUGGUGACGUAAUGUGUCUUGUAUGGUGACAUACUGUACCUUGUAUGGUGAC